GGUGGGGUGGCAGAGCGGCUAUGCGUUCGCCUGCAGAGCGAAUCAAUAGGGGUUCGAAUCCCCUCCCCACCU
This 72-nucleotide transfer RNA is filed under the name Thermoproteota archaeon. RNAcentral's name for it is "tRNA-Cys". It matches the Rfam family "tRNA". Rfam says of the family: Transfer RNA (tRNA) molecules are approximately 80 nucleotides in length. Their secondary structure includes four short double-helical elements and three loops (D, anti-codon, and T loops). Further hydrogen bonds mediate the characteristic L-shaped molecular structure. tRNAs have two regions of fundamental functional importance: the anti-codon, which is responsible for specific mRNA codon recognition, and the 3' end, to which the tRNAs corresponding amino acid is attached (by aminoacyl-tRNA synthetases). tRNAs cope with the degeneracy of the genetic code in two manners: having more than one tRNA (with a specific anti-codon) for a particular amino acid; and 'wobble' base-pairing, i.e. permitting non-standard base-pairing at the 3rd anti-codon position. Lineage: Archaea; Thermoproteati; Thermoproteota. The record is from RNAcentral.